This 409-nucleotide ribosomal RNA is filed under the name bacterium. Its description in RNAcentral is "partial 16S ribosomal RNA". It matches the Rfam family "Bacterial small subunit ribosomal RNA", at positions 355 to 776 of the family's 1533-position model. The record is from RNAcentral. RNAcentral also lists the same sequence under 1 other name.
UGGGGAAUAUUGCGCAAUGGACGAAAGUCUGACGCAGCAACGCCGCGUGAGGGAUGACGGCCUUCGGGUUGUAAACCUCUUUCAGCAGGGACGAAGCGAGAGUGACGGUACCUGCAGAAGAAGGACCGGCCAACUACGUGCCAGCAGCCGCGGUAAUACGUAGGGUCCGAGCGUUGUCCGGAAUUAUUGGGCGUAAAGGGCUCGUAGGCGGUUCGUCACGUCGGGAGUGAAAACUCGGAGCUUAACUCCGAGCCUGCUUCCGAUACGGGCAGACUAGAGGUAGGCAGGGGAGAGCGGAACUCCUGGUGUAGCGGUGGAAUGCGCAGAUAUCAGGAAGAACACCGGUGGCGAAGGCGGCUCUCUGGGCCUUACCUGACGCUGAGGAGCGAAAGCGUGGGUAGCGAACAGG